UAGUUGGUGAGGUAAUGGCUCACCAAGGCGACGAUCCCUAGCUGGUCUGAGAGGAUGACCGGCCACACUGGAACUGAGACACGGUCCAGACUCCUACGGGAGGCAGCAGUGGGGAAUAUUGCACAAUGGGCGCAAGCCUGAUGCAGCCAUGCCGCGUGUAUGAAGAAGGCCUUCGGGUUGUAAA
Molecule: ribosomal RNA, 184 nt
Filed under: uncultured bacterium
Lineage: Bacteria
Description: partial 16S ribosomal RNA
Rfam family: Bacterial small subunit ribosomal RNA
Source: RNAcentral